This 526-nucleotide ribosomal RNA is filed under the name uncultured bacterium. RNAcentral's name for it is "bacterial SSU rRNA". It matches the Rfam family "Bacterial small subunit ribosomal RNA", at positions 984 to 1509 of the family's 1533-position model. The record is from RNAcentral.
ACAUCCAGAGAAUUUAGCAGAGAUGCUUUAGUGCCUUCGGGAACUCUGAGACAGGUGCUGCAUGGCUGUCGUCAGCUCGUGUUGUGAAAUGUUGGGUUAAGUCCCGCAACGAGCGCAACCCUUAUCCUUUGUUGCCAGCACGUAAUGGUGGGAACUCAAAGGAGACUGCCGGUGAUAAACCGGAGGAAGGUGGGGAUGACGUCAAGUCAUCAUGGCCCUUACGAGUAGGGCUACACACGUGCUACAAUGGCGCAUACAAAGAGAAGCGACCUCGCGAGAGCAAGCGGACCUCAUAAAGUGCGUCGUAGUCCGGAUUGGAGUCUGCAACUCGACUCCAUGAAGUCGGAAUCGCUAGUAAUCGUAAAUCAGAAUGUUACGGCGAAUACGUUCCCGGGCCUUGUACACACCGCCCGUCACACCAUGGGAGUGGGUUGCAAAAGAAGUAGAUAGCUUAACCUUCGGGAGGGCGUUUACCACUUUGUGAUUCAUGACUGGGGUGAAGUCGUAACAAGGUAGGCGUAGUGCU